Molecule: ribosomal RNA, 459 nt
Filed under: uncultured bacterium
Lineage: Bacteria
Description: partial 16S ribosomal RNA
Rfam family: Bacterial small subunit ribosomal RNA
Source: RNAcentral
CCUACGGGUGGCAGCAGUGAGGAAUAUUGGUCAAUGGGCGGGAGCCUGAACCAGCCAAGCCGCGUGAGGGAAGAAGGUACAGCGUAUCGUAAACCUCUUUUGUCAGGGAACAAAGGCGGGGACUAGUCCCCGGAUGAGGGUACCUGAAGAAAAAGCAUCGGCUAACUCCGUGCCAGCAGCCGCGGUAAUACGGAGGAUGCGAGCGUUAUCCGGAUUUAUUGGGUUUAAAGGGUGCGUAGGCGGGACCUUAAGUCAGCGGUAAAAUUGCGGUGCUCAACGCCGUAGAGCCGUUGAAACUGGGGUUCUUGAGUGAGCGAGAAGUAUGCGGAAUGCGUGGUGUAGCGGUGAAAUGCAUAGAUAUCACGCAGAACCCCGAUUGCGAAGGCAGCAUACCGGCGCUCAACUGACGCUGAGGCACGAAAGUGCGGGUAUCGAACAGGAUUAGAUACCCGGGUAGUC